UCCCAUGGCCAUACCACCCUGAACACACCCGAUCUCGUAUGAUCUUAGAAGCUAAGCAGGGCCGGGCCUGGUUAGUAUUUGGAUGGGAGACCACCUGGGAAUACUGGGUGCUGUAGGCU
Anolis carolinensis (green anole) is the source of this 119-nucleotide ribosomal RNA. NCBI's taxonomy places the organism in Eukaryota, Metazoa, Chordata, Lepidosauria, Squamata, Anolidae. The record is from Ensembl.